Molecule: ribosomal RNA, 274 nt
Filed under: uncultured bacterium
Lineage: Bacteria
Description: partial 16S ribosomal RNA
Rfam family: Bacterial small subunit ribosomal RNA
Source: RNAcentral
AUACGAAAGGUGCAAGCGUUGUUCGGAUUUACUGGGCGUAAUGAGAGUGUAGGUUGUUUAUUAAGUCGGAUGUGAAAUCCCGGGGCUCAACCUCGGAACUGCAUUCGAUACUGGUAGACUAGAGUUCGGGAGGGGUAAGCGGAAUUCCGUGUGUAGCAGUGAAAUGCGUAGAUAUACGGAGGAACACCUGAGGCGAAGGCGGCUUACUGGACCGAUGCUGACACUGAGACUCGAAAGCGUGGGUAGCAAACAGGAUUAGAAACCCGGGUAGUCC